This is a long non-coding RNA of Toxotes jaculatrix (banded archerfish), 1110 nucleotides long. RefSeq lists it as uncharacterized. The transcript is spliced from 4 exons. The record is from RefSeq and is a predicted model, not a curated record. NCBI's taxonomy places the organism in Eukaryota, Metazoa, Chordata, Actinopteri, Toxotidae.
CCAGAACUCUGUCAGGGACUCCAAAACCUGCAGGAACUGGUUGUGGAGCUGUUCCAGAGUACUCUGCCAAACCGGACCAGAAGAAAAACAGAGCGCGCUUCCCUUCUCACUCCCCUGCCAGCCGAGCCUCCAUGUGUCCGUGCCAGUGCUGCCUCCUCCCUAGCUGUGCCUGGUGAGGGAUGACCUGGCGCCGGAUCUGAUGGAAGCAGCUGGAACGUGGGGAGGACUCCAAGCUAUUUUUUACCGGGUGCCAGAGGGGUGAGGAGGGCCAGUUGGGCAGGUGGGCACAGAGUGGGGUCCCACCACCCUUCCCUGUCCCCAGUGGAUGUCAUCUGGGCUUAGGAUAACAGUGACUAGCUGCCGCCCCUACUUGGCCAUGAUGGAAACAGCGUGACAGUCAGAUGUCCUGCUGGGAAGACUGAUGAGAGCAUCCCAUUUGCAACUCCACAGCCAAAGCGGGACCUCCAGGGAGCGCUCCAAGCGUGGCAGCGGCACUGGCAGCGGUGUAUCACUGCACAAGGUCACUACCUCGAAGAGGACGGCGGCCAAAUUUAAAUCAGGUAUCGUGUGUACAGACAUAUAUUACAAUCUUUCCCUAACAUUAACCAAGUGCUCUGAGUGCUUGAACAUUACCAUAAAAAAAGUUUGAUAAUGCUAUAGUCCCUACAAAUAAAUACUGCAAAUACACUGUCUGUGAACAUUUUACAGAUACAUUCAGAAUUGCUUAAUCUUUACUCCCUAACUUUUUCAUACCUGGAAAGAAGAAACAGCACACAAUCUCACAAGUUGUGAGGAAAAGGAAACAGCAUCUGUUCAAAGCCAAUUCUGACUGAAGCACAUUAAAUGCAGCACAGCAGCACUGUUGCAUAAACGUUCAAUACAUUAAAGAGCAAAAUACACUGAAACACACAAACAUGCACCUACAGACACUACAGACUGUUUUCUGCACUCCUGUGUCUGUACACAGAAUUUGCUUACACACACACACACAUUCACACCAGAGGUGUGAAUGGCCUUUGGCCACAGGCAGAGUUUUCACAGUAAACUAACCUUGAUCAAUAACCUGCUUUGGACCUCAGCAAAACCCACUGUUCUCCGUACUGCUGGAUU